Canis lupus familiaris (dog) is the source of this 1098-nucleotide long non-coding RNA. RefSeq lists it as uncharacterized. The transcript has 6 exons. The record is from RefSeq and is a predicted model, not a curated record. Lineage: Eukaryota; Metazoa; Chordata; Mammalia; Carnivora; Canidae.
CACUUCAAGGAUCCCAUUCAAUAUGAGUCUAUAUACUUAUAAAAACUCUUUGAAAAAGAAACUAUCCCUAACUGGAUACCAAAAGUUUGAGCUACAGAUUGCUAGGCAGAGAAUACCACUGGAAGGACACCACAAAGAUGUUUGUCUGCCUGCCAUAUUUUCAGAAGAAUUGAUCUAACAUCUUAUGAGUUUUGGUGCUACUGGGACUGACCAGUGUUUGAUGGUUGGAGAGUGGAGUGGGGCUGGGAAGCUGUGUUUCAUGUUGGUUUCCUGCCUGCAGAACUGUCAUUAUCAACCACGUAGUCUGAAAGCUCCAAUUUAAAGGAUGCUCACAACGUCAUUCACUUAUCUGAAGAGCAAAUAUAUUUGCUGAAAAGAUGUCUGAUUCAAUGGGAAAGUCCUUCAAAAUCAACAUAAAAGAAUUUGUCAAGGCUCUUGGAUAUAUACAAGAGAACUCUUCAACAUUGUAAUGAGAAAAUGACUAGAAUCCUCUUCUCAAAUUCUGAGAACAUUCAGAAGCAUAACAAUUCAAGAAGGAAAAUAGGCAAAGUACCUUUGGAACCUUCUCCUCUGACUAAAUUUAGCUUCAAAAAGUGGAGUCUGGCAAAGAGCAGGGGUCAGCCUGUUUCUGCUGAUUGCCAGUCAACAGAUUUGACAUUCCUUUGGUUGACCGCAGCUAUUCCACUACAUGUACUCUUGGUGAAUCCACAGAUGGCUCAAUGAUCAUGGGUCUGGGGUGAAAGAAGAUGAAAACCAGAGUAAUAGAAGGCAGACAGAGGGCUGUAUUCUGCUGACAGACUACUGAGAACCCAGGCAGCCCUGCGAUUACAGAGAAAAACACUCUCGUCCAGAAUUAUUGGAAAGCAAGAGUGGCAAAUACAGUGCUGUACUACAUGGGGGGAAUGCAAAGUCGAGAGAGAAGGACACAUGGAAAGGCAAUGAGUAUUAAAAUGAGUUGCAAAAUGGGGAGAGGCAGCCCCAGGGGCAUCCUUCUUCCUGACAAGUCCCGAGGCACGGCCUGUGCCUUCCAGAGGAGUCAUUUCAGCCUCCUGGGGAGGAGGAGCUGGCAGGCGCAGUCUGCCCUAGACAAGUGCUUGU